RNAcentral lists this unclassified non-coding RNA (271 nucleotides) under uncultured Chaetothyriales. RNAcentral's name for it is "sequence contains 5.8S rRNA gene, ITS2, 28S rRNA gene". The stretch from base 1 to 52 matches the Rfam family "5.8S ribosomal RNA", at positions 103 to 154 of the family's 154-position model. The record is from RNAcentral. Lineage: Eukaryota; Fungi; Ascomycota; Eurotiomycetes; Chaetothyriales.
AACGCAUAUUGCGCCCUUUGGUAUUCCGAAGGGCAUGCCUGUUCGAGCGUCAUUAUCACCCCUCAAGCCUCCGGGCUUGGUGUUGGACGGCUUGGUCUCGGGUAACGAGACCCCUCCUAAAAUCAACGACGGCGGCCUGUUCGACCCCCGGUACACGGAGCUUCUUAACUGAGCACGUAUCGGCCUAGGCAGGACCCGGUCUUCUUCCUUAACCGGAAAACUUCUUUUCAAGGUUGACCUCGGAUCAGGUAGGGAUACCCGCUGAACUUAA